GACGAACGCUGGCGGCGUGCUUAACACAUGCAAGUCGAACGGAAAGGCCUGCUUUCCCUUGUGGAUUGCGGGUACUCGAGUGGCGAACGGGUGAGUAACACGUGAGUUAUCUGCCCCCAACUUGGGUAUAAGCCUGGGAAACUGGGUCUAAUUCCCGAUAGGACUGCAGGGUGGUGCCUGUGGUGGAAAACGAUUUUCUCGUGGCUGGGGAUGAGCUCGCGGCCUAUCAGCUUGUUGGUGGGGUAAUGGCCUACCAAGGCGGCGACGGGUAGCCGGCCUGAGAGGGUGGACGGCCACAUUGGGACUGAGAUACGGCCCAGACUCCUACGGGAGGCAGCAGUGGGGAAUAUGGCACAAUGGGCGGAAGCCUGAUGCAGCGACGCCGCGUGGGGGAUGACGGCCUUCGGGUUGUAAACUCCUUUCGACCGCGAGGAAGCCACCUGGUUGGAAGGGUGGUGACGGUAGUGGUAGAAGAAGCACCGGCUAACUACGUG
Molecule: ribosomal RNA, 494 nt
Filed under: uncultured bacterium
Lineage: Bacteria
Description: partial 16S ribosomal RNA
Rfam family: Bacterial small subunit ribosomal RNA
Source: RNAcentral